AUGUUAUAAAGAAAGGCAGAGGGAUUAGACCCGAUGAAGCCUUAGCAACCCUUCGAUUUAUCGAAGAAGGUGCUGCAUUCUACCACGCUCACCGUGGAAAGAUAACAC
Non-coding RNA from Flavobacterium segetis, 108 nucleotides. Lineage: Bacteria; Pseudomonadati; Bacteroidota; Flavobacteriia; Flavobacteriales; Flavobacteriaceae. The record is from Rfam.